Molecule: small nuclear RNA, 146 nt
Organism: Heterocephalus glaber (naked mole-rat)
Lineage: Eukaryota; Metazoa; Chordata; Mammalia; Rodentia; Bathyergidae
Gene: U2
Rfam family: U2 spliceosomal RNA
About the family: U2 is a small nuclear RNA (snRNA) component of the spliceosome (involved in pre-mRNA splicing). Complementary binding between U2 snRNA (in an area lying towards the 5' end but 3' to hairpin I) and the branchpoint sequence (BPS) of the intron results the bulging out of an unpaired adenosine, on the BPS, which initiates a nucleophilic attack at the intronic 5' splice site, thus starting the first of two transesterification reactions that mediate splicing.
Source: Ensembl
AUCGCUUCUCGGCCUUUUGGCUAAGAUCAAGUGUAGGAAUGUUCCCAAUUUAGCAUUCUUUUUCUGUUCUUCCAUAUUCUGUAUGAUCAAUGUCAGAUGGGAAUCAAUUUUGCAAGUACAACUGCAACCUGUGAAUUUAAUCUUUU